UUAGUCCACUCUUCCAGUUAACCCACCUCUUUCUAGGUUUUAUUUUUCUCUGCGCUAUAUUGAGCUUUCCCUCUGUUGCAUCAUCUUCCUCUUCAUCUGUUGGGUCCUUUUGCAAUUGAAUAGAGAAGAAAUUUUGUCGGUGGCAAAGCUAGUAAUAUUGUUAAGGGUCUUCAAAGAUCUCAGUAAAGUGAGUUAAGCACUUUAUAAGAUUUCUGAAACUUUUGCUCAAUUAGGUAAGUUUUCUACUUAAUAUCUUACUCUGUCUUGUGCUUUACUUUUCAACUUUUCUUUUUAGUUGUUUGUUUCUCCAAUUAAUGGGACUCUCUCUCUUUGUCAUUCGCUCUUUCUCUUUUGUGUAAUUGUAAUGUUUAAAUAUGCAAUAGUGAUAUACCCAUAUAUGUAUCUCUCAGAGAUUUCAUUGAAUUGUGCUAAGUUAUUUGAUUUGGUUACAUAUGCGUGUGAGAGGGUGGAUAGGAUAAG
Solanum tuberosum (potato) is the source of this 480-nucleotide long non-coding RNA. RefSeq lists it as uncharacterized. The transcript is spliced from 3 exons. The record is from RefSeq and is a predicted model, not a curated record. Lineage: Eukaryota; Viridiplantae; Streptophyta; Magnoliopsida; Solanales; Solanaceae.